CUGCAAUCCCUGGUCUAGUUCACCUUUCCACUAAGAGUGAGCUAGCGUUGGCCAGGCGUGGGGAUGCAUGCCAUCAGUCUCACGAUAAUGGAUGAUCGUCCUGAAUAAUACAAGAUUCUCUGAACAUUGCUUUCAUGCUGUGAUGUAAUUGCAUUGCUGAUUGUACAAGGGUUUAAAUGAAGAUUUUGAGAUGAGAAAAUUAUCCUGGAUUAUUCAGGUGGGUCCUAAAUACCAUCACAAGUGUCCUUACAAGGAAGAGGCAGCAGGAGAUGGGACACACAGUAAAGGUGAUAAUGAAGAUGGAGGUGGAGAUUGGAGGGAUGCGGCCACAAGCCAAUGAAUGCCUGCAGCUACCAGAAGCCACAGAGAGCUCCGCUAGAGCCUCUGGAGGGAGCUUGGCCCUGUCAACACCUUGAUUUGAACCCAGUGAAACAAAUUUCCAACUUCUGUCCUCCUGGACUGUGAAGUAAUAAAUUUCUGUUUUUUUAAGCUACC
Molecule: long non-coding RNA, 495 nt
Filed under: Homo sapiens (human)
Lineage: Eukaryota; Metazoa; Chordata; Mammalia; Primates; Hominidae
Description: HSALNT0024364
Source: RNAcentral